GAUUCUGCCGGACCCGACUGCUAUCAGAGUGGGACWAAGCCAUGCGAGUCAACAUAGCAAUAUGUGGCAUACGGCUCAGUAACACGUAGUCAACAUGCCCAGGGGACGUGGAUAACCUCGGGAAACUGAGGAUAAACCGCGAUAAGUCACUACUUCUGGAAUGGGUAAUGACUCAAAUCUACAUGGCCCCUGGAUUGGACUGCGGCCGAUCAGGCUGUUGGUGAGGUAAUGGCCCACCAAACCUGUAACCGGUACGGGCUCUGAGAGGAGGAGCCCGGAGAUGGGCACUGAGACAAGGGCCCAGGCCCUAUGGGGCGCAGCAGGCGCGAAACCUCUGCAAUAGGCGAAAGCCUGACAGGGUUACUCUGAGUGAUUUCCGUUAAGGAGAUCUUUUGGCACCUCUAAAAAUGGUGCAGAAUAAGGGGUGGGCAAGUCUGGUGUCAGCCGCCGCGGUAAUACCAGCACCCCGAGUGGUCGGGACGUUUAUUGGGCCUAAAGCAUCCGUAGCCGGUUCUACAAGUCUUCCGUUAAAUCCACCUGCUUAACAGAUGGGCUGCGGAAGAUACUAUAGAGCUAGGAGGCGGGAGAGGCAAGCGGUACUCGAUGGGUAGGGGUAAAAUCCGUUGAUCCAUUGAAGACCACCAGUGGCGAAGGCGGCUUGCCAGAACGCGCUCGACGGUGAGGGAUGAAAGCUGGGGGAGCAAACCGGAUUAGAUACCCGGGUAGUCCCAGCUGUAAACGAUGCAGACUCGGUGAUGAGUUGGCUUCUUGCCAACUCAGUGCCGCAGGGAAGCCGUUAAGUUUGCCGCCUGGGGAGUACGGUCGCAAGACUGAAACUUAAAGGAAUUGGCGGGGGAGCACCACAAGGGGUGAAGCCUGCGGUUCAAUUGGAGUCAA
Molecule: ribosomal RNA, 897 nt
Filed under: uncultured archaeon
Lineage: Archaea
Description: bacterial SSU rRNA
Rfam family: Archaeal small subunit ribosomal RNA
Source: RNAcentral